AUUACGGGGCGCAGCAGGCGCGAAAACUUUACAAUGCUGGCAACAGCGAUAAGGGAACCUCGAGUGCCAGGUUACAAAUCUGGCUGUCGAGAUGCCUAAAAAGCAUUUCAUAGCAAGGGCCGGGCAAGACCGGUGCCAGCCGCCGCGGUAACACCGGCGGCUCGAGUGGUAACCGUUAUUAUUGGGUCUAAAGGGUCUGUAGCCGGCCGGAUAAGUCUCUUGAGAAAUCUGGCAGCUUAACUGUCAGGCUUUCAGGAGAUACUGUCUGGCUCGAGGCCGGGAGAGGUGAGAGGUACUUCAGGGGUAGGGGUGAAAUCUUGUAAUCCUUGAAGGACCACCAGUGGCGAAGGCGUCUCACCAGAACGGACCUGACGGCAAGGGACGAAAGCUAGGGGCACGAACCGGAUUAGAUACCCGGGUAGUCCUAGCCGUAAACGAUACUCGCUAGGUGUCGGCCACGGUGCGACCGUUGUCGGUGCCGUAGGGAAGCCGUGAAGCGAGCCACCUGGGAAGUACGGCCGCAAGGUUGAAACUUAAAGGAAUUGGCGGGGGAGCAC
This 557-nucleotide ribosomal RNA is filed under the name uncultured archaeon. RNAcentral's name for it is "bacterial SSU rRNA". It matches the Rfam family "Archaeal small subunit ribosomal RNA", at positions 322 to 879 of the family's 1478-position model. The record is from RNAcentral.